AAGAUCCAUAUUUUGUGACAAGGCAAUCGAUCAGUAACAUUGUAUGCUUCACAAUUUCGACAACUUACCAGUGAUAUCAAGUGGGAUGAUGCUGCACUUAUUAGCCAAUUUCUCUACAGAUUACAAUAUGAGGUAAAAAAACUAAUGCUCAACUUACAUGAUCCUCAAACAUUGAGUCAAGCAAUUGACUUUGCUGCAAAGUGCGACAGUUGUCUUUUUAAAUUUUGAUAUGACAUACGUACAAGUGGACCUCAACAUUACUAUAAUUGAAUGGCAACACCAACAUCUCUUCAACACAUACAUUCAGAAGUAGAAGAUAUGCAAAUUGAUGUGGUACAUUUCAAACCUCUUCUUCAGUAAGAAAAGAGUCAUCAUCGUCAUGAAAGAUUGUGCUUAUAUUCUGGAGAACCUAAGUACACUGCUCAACAUUACUCAAAAAAAUGACACAACCAUAAAAUUAAGAGUAUGGCUAUCAAAGAAGAUAGCAUAUCGGAUAACAAAUUUGUCCAGCUAUAAUAGGGACCGUGCGGUUGGAACCUUGUACAAUACCUAGUGAAGGUCCUAUCCUCUCCUCA
Molecule: long non-coding RNA, 575 nt
Filed under: Physcomitrium patens
Lineage: Eukaryota; Viridiplantae; Streptophyta; Bryopsida; Funariales; Funariaceae
Description: long non-coding RNA (PPAT_LNC010388)
Source: RNAcentral